Molecule: ribosomal RNA, 1513 nt
Filed under: Cutibacterium acnes HL002PA1
Lineage: Bacteria; Bacillati; Actinomycetota; Actinomycetes; Propionibacteriales; Propionibacteriaceae
Description: 16S ribosomal RNA
Rfam family: Bacterial small subunit ribosomal RNA
Source: RNAcentral
AGAGUUUGAUCCUGGCUCAGGACGAACGCUGGCGGCGUGCUUAACACAUGCAAGUCGAACGGAAAGGCCCUGCUUUUGUGGGGUGCUCGAGUGGCGAACGGGUGAGUAACACGUGAGUAACCUGCCCUUGACUUUGGGAUAACUUCAGGAAACUGGGGCUAAUACCGGAUAGGAGCUCCUGCUGCAUGGUGGGGGUUGGAAAGUUUCGGCGGUUGGGGAUGGACUCGCGGCUUAUCAGCUUGUUGGUGGGGUAGUGGCUUACCAAGGCUUUGACGGGUAGCCGGCCUGAGAGGGUGACCGGCCACAUUGGGACUGAGAUACGGCCCAGACUCCUACGGGAGGCAGCAGUGGGGAAUAUUGCACAAUGGGCGGAAGCCUGAUGCAGCAACGCCGCGUGCGGGAUGACGGCCUUCGGGUUGUAAACCGCUUUCGCCUGUGACGAAGCGUGAGUGACGGUAAUGGGUAAAGAAGCACCGGCUAACUACGUGCCAGCAGCCGCGGUGAUACGUAGGGUGCGAGCGUUGUCCGGAUUUAUUGGGCGUAAAGGGCUCGUAGGUGGUUGAUCGCGUCGGAAGUGUAAUCUUGGGGCUUAACCCUGAGCGUGCUUUCGAUACGGGUUGACUUGAGGAAGGUAGGGGAGAAUGGAAUUCCUGGUGGAGCGGUGGAAUGCGCAGAUAUCAGGAGGAACACCAGUGGCGAAGGCGGUUCUCUGGGCCUUUCCUGACGCUGAGGAGCGAAAGCGUGGGGAGCGAACAGGCUUAGAUACCCUGGUAGUCCACGCUGUAAACGGUGGGUACUAGGUGUGGGGUCCAUUCCACGGGUUCCGUGCCGUAGCUAACGCUUUAAGUACCCCGCCUGGGGAGUACGGCCGCAAGGCUAAAACUCAAAGGAAUUGACGGGGCCCCGCACAAGCGGCGGAGCAUGCGGAUUAAUUCGAUGCAACGCGUAGAACCUUACCUGGGUUUGACAUGGAUCGGGAGCGCUCAGAGAUGGGUGUGCCUCUUUUGGGGUCGGUUCACAGGUGGUGCAUGGCUGUCGUCAGCUCGUGUCGUGAGAUGUUGGGUUAAGUCCCGCAACGAGCGCAACCCUUGUUCACUGUUGCCAGCACGUUAUGGUGGGGACUCAGUGGAGACCGCCGGGGUCAACUCGGAGGAAGGUGGGGAUGACGUCAAGUCAUCAUGCCCCUUAUGUCCAGGGCUUCACGCAUGCUACAAUGGCUGGUACAGAGAGUGGCGAGCCUGUGAGGGGGAGCGAAUCUCGGAAAGCCGGUCUCAGUUCGGAUUGGGGUCUGCAACUCGACCUCAUGAAGUCGGAGUCGCUAGUAAUCGCAGAUCAGCAACGCUGCGGUGAAUACGUUCCCGGGGCUUGUACACACCGCCCGUCAAGUCAUGAAAGUUGGUAACACCCGAAGCCGGUGGCCUAACCGUUGUGGGGGAGCCGUCGAAGGUGGGACUGGUGAUUAGGACUAAGUCGUAACAAGGUAGCCGUACCGGAAGGUGCGGCUGGAUCACCU